This 548-nucleotide ribosomal RNA is filed under the name Australoheros facetus (chameleon cichlid). RNAcentral describes it as "partial 16S ribosomal RNA". It matches the Rfam family "Bacterial large subunit ribosomal RNA", at positions 1845 to 2589 of the family's 2925-position model. Lineage: Eukaryota; Metazoa; Chordata; Actinopteri; Cichliformes; Cichlidae. The record is from RNAcentral.
AUAAGAGGUCCCGCCUGCCCGGUGACUAUUAGUUUAACGGCCGCGGUAUUUUGACCGUGCAAAGGUAGCGCAAUCACUUGUCCUUUAAAUGAGGACCUGUAUGAAUGGCACCACGAGGGCUCAACUGUCUCCUUUUUCCUGUCAAUGAAAUUGAUCUCCCCGUGCAGAAGCGGGGAUCCCCCCAUAAGACGAGAAGACCCUAUGGAGCUUCAGGCACCAGAACAGACUAUGUUAAGCACCCUAAUACAAAAGACAAAACUAACUAGCCCCUAUUCUAAUGCCUUUGGUUGGGGCGACCGCGGGGAAACAGAAAACCCCCACGUGGACUAAGAGCACCUCCCCUCUUACAACCAAGGGCUACAGCCCUAAGUAACAGAACCUCUGACCCUAAACGAUCCGGUAUAACCGAUCAACGAACCGAGUUACCCUAGGGAUAACAGCGCAAUCCCCUUCUAGAGUCCAUAUCGACAAGGGGGUUUACGACCUCGAUGUUGGAUCAGGACAUCCUAUUGGUGCAACCGCUAUUAAGGGUUCGUUGUUCAACGAUU